This 426-nucleotide ribosomal RNA is filed under the name uncultured bacterium. RNAcentral's name for it is "bacterial SSU rRNA". It matches the Rfam family "Bacterial small subunit ribosomal RNA", at positions 64 to 507 of the family's 1533-position model. The record is from RNAcentral.
GAACGAGAAAGUGGAGCAAUCCAUGAGUAAAGUGGCGACCGGGUGAGUAACACGUGACUAACCUACCUCUUAGUGGGGAAUAACUCCGGGAAACCGGGGCUAAUACCGCAUAACAUCGCAGGGGGAAGAUCCCUGCGAUCAAAGAAGCAAUUCGCUCAAGGAGGGGGUCGCGGCUGAUUAGCUAGUUGGUGAGGUAACGGCCCACCAAGGCUUAGAUCAGUAGCCGGCCUGAGAGGGCGCACGGCCACACUGGAACUGAAACACGGUCCAGACUCCUACGGGAGGCAGCAGUGGGGAAUUUUGCGCAAUGGGGGAAACCCUGACGCAGCAACGCCGCGUGGAGGAUGAAGUCCCUUGGGACGUANACUCCUUUCGACCAAGACGAUAAUGACGGUACUGGUGGAAGAAGCACCGGCUAACUCUGUG